Molecule: ribosomal RNA, 469 nt
Filed under: uncultured bacterium
Lineage: Bacteria
Description: bacterial SSU rRNA
Rfam family: Bacterial small subunit ribosomal RNA
Source: RNAcentral
CGCUGGCGGCAGGCCUAACACAUGCAAGUCGAGCGGAUGAAAGGAGCUUGCUCCUGGAUUCAGCGGCGGACGGGUGAGUAAUGCCUAGGAAUCUGCCUGGUAGUGGGGGACAACGUUUCGAAAGGAACGCUAAUACCGCAUACGUCCUACGGGAGAAAGCAGGGGACCUUCGGGCCUUGCGCUAUCAGAUGAGCCUAGGUCGGAUUAGCUAGUUGGUGAGGUAAUGGCUCACCAAGGCGACGAUCCGUAACUGGUCUGAGAGGAUGAUCAGUCACACUGGAACUGAGACACGGUCCAGACUCCUACGGGAGGCAGCAGUGGGGAAUACUGGACAAUGGGCGAAAGCCUGAUCCAGCCAUGCCGCGUGUGUGAAGAAGGUCUUCGGAUUGUAAAGCACUUUAAGUUGGGAGGAAGGGUUGUAGAUUAAUACUCUGCAAUUUUGACGUUACCGACAGAAUAAGCACCGGCU